UUAUUUAAUAUUUGUGUUGUUGAAACGAAGCAUAGAAGUGAAGCAAAAGCAAAGUCCAUGAUCCUAGAAAGUAGAAAGUGUCAUUUUCUUAUCCCACCUUGUCUCUUGUUGAUUACCUAUUUGACACUGGGACUAGAUUAUUACUAUACCAUGUAACAAUCCGUGCCGUGCACAAAAUAAAAUAUUUUAUAAAAUAAUUAUUAAAUAAUAAAUUUUACUUUAAUGUAUUUUAAAAGUAAUAACAAAAAUAAGUAAAUACUCUUUAAUGUUUUGAGUAAGGUAAAAUUUCUAAAACAAAUUCAGUUCAUGUAUGAUACUUAUUUCUAAAAUUUUGAAUUUAAAAUAGUUAUGGAUUUUUAAAAUAGUAUAUAAUUUAAUUGAAAAAACAUUAAUAUAUCUAUAUAUAUAAAGAAGGGUUUCUCUCCUUCUUAAGCAUGCCACAUGGGAUUCCACGUCACAAAUUCGGAGACUGAGAGUGUGACACGUGUCACUUUAACCAAAGUGCACCGUUUCAUUUAAGCGAGAUACAUUGUCUGUUUGCUGGGCUUUAAUUACUUUUCCUUAGAAUAGUCAUGUUGAAGUUGGGCUGUCUGUAUAUUUCUUUGUUGGGCUCUACUAAUAAAAUUAACUGAAGUCCAGAAAGAUUACCUUUAUCACAUAUUAUCUUAUUAUCUAACGACGAUCUUCUGCAGCCGCAAGCGUUCAACUCCGUCUUCAUCUAACCGCAAUUAAGAACAGUGACAAAAAAAAGUGUUGCAAGAAACGUUAUUUCCCGACCAAUCUCUGUUCGGAAUACAACGGAUCUCUCUUCACGAUUGAUUUCCUCCCACCGCCUUAUGAAACCAGCACCGUUACGGAAGUCGGAAGACCUAUACAUUGAAUGAUCAUCAUUAAUGCCACCUUCCCACCACUGCUUACAUGAUGUCUCAUUCAAUACCCCCUUCUUUCUUCCAUGAACAAAAGGGGAGGUAACCCACUAUUCAGCGCUAAUCAUAUAACGCGGUAAUCAAGCGGGGAUGAGCUAGACGCCACGGCCGAGCCAUUGCUAAGGGUUAACAAGAAGGUUGGUAACCAUUGCUAAGGGUUAACAAGAAGGUUGGUCAGGUCAAUUAUCAUGAUCAAGCCAAGGUUCAUGAGCUUCAAGUCAUGUUUGCAGGGGAAGCAGCACAUAGAUCCCAUUACUCUACGAUUCAUCCUUACUUUAGUGGUUUCAGGCCAAGCAUAUUUAUUAUGAUUUUUUAGUGACCGUUUUAAGAUAUGUUUUUUGGUCAAUGUGUUUAGAGAAGCUUAAUUAGUUUUGUUAGGUUUAAGAAAAGAAUGUAAAGAUAUUUGAUUGAAUUUGCAUUUUUCUUUGUUCUU
Long non-coding RNA from Brassica napus (rape), 1359 nucleotides. RefSeq lists it as uncharacterized. Lineage: Eukaryota; Viridiplantae; Streptophyta; Magnoliopsida; Brassicales; Brassicaceae. The record is from RefSeq and is a predicted model, not a curated record. The transcript is spliced from 2 exons.